RNAcentral lists this unclassified non-coding RNA (300 nucleotides) under Glomeromycota sp. RNAcentral describes it as "partial contains 5.8S ribosomal RNA and internal transcribed spacer 2". The stretch from base 1 to 65 matches the Rfam family "5.8S ribosomal RNA", at positions 84 to 154 of the family's 154-position model. The record is from RNAcentral. Lineage: Eukaryota; Fungi; Glomeromycota.
GUGAAUCAUCGAAUUUUUGAACGCAAAUUGCACUCUCUUCGGAGAGGAUGCCUGUUUGAGGGUCAGUUUAAAUAAAAAUCGAGUUGUUGCUGUUUUGUGACCCAUCGGAAUUGGUUUAUCUUUUACCUUUUAAAAAGUUUAAUUGACCUAAAAUUGAUACCUUUUGCAUCUCAGACGUACAUAAGAAUAUUUUUUUAUCCGUCCGGAGUUGCCAACUUUUUAUUAUGUAUGACCAUGCUGUUGUUGGCAUCGUACCUAUAAUAUACUCAUAUUUUUACCUCCAUUCAGGUAGGAGUACCC